RNAcentral lists this ribosomal RNA (404 nucleotides) under Fusobacteriota bacterium. Its description in RNAcentral is "Fusobacteria bacterium partial 16S ribosomal RNA". It matches the Rfam family "Bacterial small subunit ribosomal RNA", at positions 355 to 776 of the family's 1533-position model. The record is from RNAcentral. Lineage: Bacteria; Fusobacteriati; Fusobacteriota.
UGGGGAAUAUUGCACAAUGGAGGGAACUCUGAUGCAGCGACGCCGCGUGAGUGAUGAAGGAAUUCGUUUCGUAAAACUCUGUUCUAUGGGAAGAAAAGGACUGUACCAUAGGAGAAAGCUCCGGCUAAAUACGUGCCAGCAGCUGCGGUAAUACGUAUGGAGCGAGAGUUGUCCGGAAUUAUUGGGCGUAAAGGGUGCGCAGGCGGCAUUACAAGUUGGAUGUGAAAUAUUGGGGCUCAACCACAAACGUGCAUCCAAAACUGCAAAGCUUGAGUUAAGGAGAGGUAAGUGGAAUACCUAGUGUAGCGGUGUAAUACGUAGAUAUCAUGAGGAAUACCGGUUGCGAAGGCGACUUACUGGACUUAAACUGACGCUAAGGCACGAAAGCGUGGGGAGCAAACAGG